Long non-coding RNA from Equus asinus (donkey), 2346 nucleotides. NCBI's taxonomy places the organism in Eukaryota, Metazoa, Chordata, Mammalia, Perissodactyla, Equidae. The record is from Ensembl.
AGAUAAUUAAAAAUAAAUAAAAACAUGAGUAUGGGAAAAAGGGAUUAGUCGAUAGACGUUAUUAGAACAACUGAGUAGCCAUCUGGAGAAACACAUGGAUCAAUACCCUACACCAAUAUUACCAAUAGGUCAAAGAUUACAGUGUAAAAAAUAAAACCAUAAAGGUACUCAUAGAAACUGCCAUUUUUAACCUUGUUAUUUUGAAGAAUUUUAGACCUUCAGAAAAGCUGCAAAAAUAGUACAAAGUUCCUGCAUAUCCUUUACCCAGCUUCUCCAUAUGUUAACAUCUUGCGUAGCCACAGUAUAACUAUCAACACCAAGAAAUUAGCAUUGAUACAAUACUAUUAACUAAUCUACAGAUCUUAUUUGAAUUUUGCCAGUUUUCCCACUAAUGCCCUUUUUCUGAUUCAGGAUCCAAUCCAGGAUUUCACAUUGCAUUUAUUUGUCAUGUCUCCUUAGACUUUUCUGAUCUGAGACAGUUCCUCAGUCUUUUUUCCCCCUUUCAUGAUCUUGACACAUUUCAAGGGUCCCAGUGAGUUAUUUUGCAGAAUGUCCCCCAGUUUGGAUUUGUCCAAUGUUUUCUCAUUCUAGAUUGAGGUUAUGCAUUUUUGGCAAGAAUACCACAGAAGUAAAUAAUUUGGAGUGGGGAAGACAUUUCUUUCUUUCUUUCUUUCUUUUUUUUUUGAGGAAGAUUAGCCCUGAGCUAACGACUGCCAAUUCUCCUCUUUUUUGCUGAGGAAGACUGGCCCUGAGCUAACAUCUGUGCCCAUCUUCCUCUACUUUAUAUGUGGGACGCCUACCACAGCAUGGUGUGCCAAGCGGUGCCAUGUCCACACCUGGGAUCCGAACCAGCAAACCCUGGGCCGCAGAGAAGCGGAACGUGUACACUUAACUGCUGCUCCACCAGGCCGGCCCCUGGGAAGACAUUUCUAACUCCUGGUGCCAGCACAGUGCCUGGCAUUGUAGAAUGAAAGAGGCCUCAUUUACCAAGUGAUGAAAAUGAGGCCCAAGGAGCAAGCCAUUCGCUUCAGGACAUCCUGCAGGUAGGGAGAGCUGGGGCUGGAACCCAAGUCUCCUGGCUGUCAGGCCAAGACAGUUGACUCAAUUCAACAAGUGUUUAGUGAGGACCUUCUUCCUGCCAGACUCUGGGCUUGGCAUGUGAUAUGGAGGGAAAUAAGGAAGAUGUGGCUUCUUGCCAACCACACUAUCUGGAGAAGGACUUUUUCCUCCCCGCUGCUUGUUCACCCCAGUCAAUCAGUGAUUCUCUAAUAAAUAGAGGGUUGCAGAGUGAGGAUUUGGGACCAGGAGGCCUCCCAGGCUCCCAAUCCCAGAAGACUCUGAUCUGCCUAUGUCUUGUCCUACCCACACAGGGCUCUGGCAUGUGGCUCCCCCACCACCCUGCUUCCCAGGGGCCCUGAGGCCUGGGCCUGUCCUGCUGCAGUGACAGGAGCUGGCUCCCUCGCGAAAGUGGCAGCAAGUGAUCAGGGUAUCACCAGGCCAAACAGGGCUGUCCUCACAGGAACAGUGGGCACACGGUCCUGCCCAAACCCAUCCCCCGACACGAUGCCUAGGAAUUCAGCAUUAGAAGCCAUUUGUCUGCUGCGCUGGGCUCUCUUUUAAAACGCUCCUCACUGAGACCGUAGUUCACCCUCAUUCAUUAUUCAUUUGCCUGCCUUGUUUCUGGCACUGUGCUUGGUAUUUGUGCAAGGAGAAUUACACAGGUUAAAAAGAUACCACUUUAUGUAUGUAUAUUAUGUUUUAUACAAAGAAACUUUAAAAAGAGAUAUUUUAUAUGUGAAAAAAAAGCAAAGUUGAUUAGCCAAUAAAAGAAGACCCCAUCAGGGCAUUUCUCUGAGCCAGGGUUUCCCCAAAUGUAAAAUCAAGACAAUACCUACCUUGGAGGAUGGUCAUGAGGUUUGACUGAUCACGGGAAGUGUUUACAACAUUCCUGAGAGCCCUGUCCUGAUAGCAUAAAAACUGGAAACAACCUAAAGGCUGGUGCUUGAGGGACAAGUUACAUAAACCAUGGUAAGACUUCUGGUUAAACAUGGAAGAUUGGCCGCGAGCAUUUGUCUUCUCUUCCUUCCAAAACUUAACUAAGUAACAGGAGAGGAGUCAAAGAGGCGUAGAUCCACAAGGACUGAGAGACCCAAGAGAAGACAGCAGCGGACAAAAGAUUUCAACAAGGCUUUGAUUCCAACGCAGCUGGACAGCCGAAGGGUGGCCGAAGGGUGGUGACAGGACAGGCAGGGCAGAGGGAGUCAGGACCUGAUGCCUGGAGAUCCUGCAGGUCCCCAGACCCCGGGUCAGAGCCUGGCUGAACACAGGGAUGCCUGAGAGUCUGUU